RNAcentral lists this ribosomal RNA (235 nucleotides) under uncultured Candidatus Saccharibacteria bacterium. Its description in RNAcentral is "partial 16S ribosomal RNA". It matches the Rfam family "Bacterial small subunit ribosomal RNA", at positions 584 to 818 of the family's 1533-position model. The record is from RNAcentral. Lineage: Bacteria; Candidatus Saccharimonadota.
UAAGUAGAAAGUGAAAGCACACGGCUCAACCGUGUAAACAUCUUCUAAACUGGUUAACUAGAGGGCGAGAGAGGUUAUUGGAAUUUCUUGUGUAGGAGUGAAAUCCGUAGAUAUAAGAAGGAACACCGAUGGCGUAGGCAGAUAACUGGCUCGCACCUGACACUAAGGCACGAAAGCGUGGGUAGCAAACGGGAUUAGAUACCCCGGUAGUCCACGCUGUAAACGAUGGAUGCUA